Echinops telfairi (small Madagascar hedgehog) is the source of this 218-nucleotide long non-coding RNA. RefSeq lists it as uncharacterized. Lineage: Eukaryota; Metazoa; Chordata; Mammalia; Afrosoricida; Tenrecidae. The record is from RefSeq and is a predicted model, not a curated record. The transcript has 3 exons.
GUGUGGAGUUUGAUCCCCUCUUUAUGAUUACCUGCUGGAUGGCUGUGUGGCACUUCAACCCAGGCCUCGCCAUGUUUUUAGGCCUGGCAUACAUGUAUGCCCGUCACCAGUACUAUUCUGCACAUUCCAAAGCUGCUCAAGAAAGACAAAACUGUGUGGUGUUUGAUCCCAUAUUUAUGGUUACAUUCUGGAUGGCUGUGUGGCAUUUCAAUCAAGGU